GGGAGCUCGAGUUGGGGGCCAGAAUCCGGCGGCAGGAGUGCGGGAGCCGAGCAGGAGAAGAUCCUGGAACAACAGCCCACCUCAAGCCUCCACACCCCUCAGCCUCAAGGCGACCAGCCCGGCCGAGGCCCGUGCCGCGCUCACCGCCCAUGGUCCCGGCCUGGCCAGGCCCGCCUCCUGCUCGCGGCUCCGCGGCUCCGUGCCGUUUCGGCGCUCGCCGCCUGCUCCGCUCGGCGCUUAGGGAGGUAAGGACCGCGGGACAGCGCGGCAGCUCACAGCGCCCCCUGUAGACCUCGCCGCGCCGCGCGCUCGCCCCGCCCCGCGCCGGGCGCCCUUUAGCUCCGCCCCGGAGGCGGUGAGGCUCUGCGGCCUGACCCGGGGGAAGGGCGCAGAAAGGGCUGCAGAGACGACUCUUGACUCUUUGAAGCCAAACGCAGCCCCAAAGGACUGGCCAGUCUGCAGAGCCCCCGGUGGGCGAAAGCUAUGGUAACGGGCGUCUGAGGGCGCAGAGACCGCGGCCACAUUGCACGCACGGCUUCUGCGCGCCUCACAACGCGGGACUUGGGAUCCGGGAUUACUCCGACGCACGUCUGGGCCCCGGCGCACGGCCCCGGCCCCGGGCUGGGCCCCUAGCGUCUGUGCGUUUGGGCCGUGUGCAUGGCCUGGCGCCGCUUUGAUCACCGUGUUGGGCUGGGCGCAUCUGUUUGGGGCCCGCCACUGCUGGGUGACUGCUGCCGCGUGGACGCGAUCUGCCACGAUUCUCGCCACCACGUCCCCCAUCCCCCCUUCACCUACUCCACGCUUCUCCUCCGAUGCCGACGCCGACCACGUCCAGCCCGGUGAAGACCUGGCUGCCACUGUUUCCGGAUGGGCUGCAGGCUUCCCGGACAGGUAGCCGUCCCCAAAGCCUGCGUCCCUGCUCCGCGGCUUCCUCGGAAGCUGCUGAAGAUUGACACAGCAUUUGACCUAUUUCUGUAACUCAGGCAUACGAUAAUUGAGCUUGAUUUGAUA
Long non-coding RNA from Artibeus jamaicensis (Jamaican fruit-eating bat), 1011 nucleotides. RefSeq lists it as uncharacterized. NCBI's taxonomy places the organism in Eukaryota, Metazoa, Chordata, Mammalia, Chiroptera, Phyllostomidae. The record is from RefSeq and is a predicted model, not a curated record. The transcript is spliced from 2 exons.